Molecule: long non-coding RNA, 2253 nt
Organism: Raphanus sativus (radish)
Lineage: Eukaryota; Viridiplantae; Streptophyta; Magnoliopsida; Brassicales; Brassicaceae
Exons: 7
Source: RefSeq, a predicted model, not a curated record
AUUGAAAGGUGAAUUUUCAGAGGAGAUCAGCAUAUUACAAACCUGCGUGGAAGAAGAAGAAGAAGAGAGAGAGAUAGGGAGACGGAGACGAUGAAAACACGAGAGACCGCAAAGGAUGACACGUGCCCACAAGGACUUGAUAUGGUAUAAGGACGCCCGAUAAUGGUGCUCUUAUGUUCCAGGCCCAGCUACUUCUUCCCCUGCCUCUCACCAUUAUCGUCAUUUCAGCUAUCCGCAACUCAACCAACCGACGGAGUGAAACCUCACCGUUAUCGUCAGAGAAACCUCAGAUAAAUGCUUCUUCUUUGCUUUAACACUAUUUAAUUACGAUUCUCAGUUCUGUCUUUCAAUCGUAGCUCCCACUACGUGAUCAUUAAUUUUCAUUCCCCAGCUUCUCUGUUAUUACGAUUUUUCUAAUCUAUAAAUAGGAAGCAAGUUUAAGAAAGCAAUGAAAAGUUAUUUACGACAUGCUAUUCCUCGACAAGGUAUAUCCCGGCAGCAGUGUUUUAAUUUUUACAUUUGUGAGAAACUAAUUUUCAACCAGCGCCACCAGCAAUCAUCUCCCACCAUCGGACAUGUGUCGCCUCUUUGUAUCUAUAUCUUUAGGUGAAGGAGAUUGUUUGAUUAGUUUUUGUGAAAACUUAAGAUUAGUGUGUUAAUCUUUAGAAGCCUCCAAAUUUUAUUUUCUAAAUUAUGCUGACUAGGUGUUCUUUGUUGCGAGGAUCACGACGUCUAGAUCAGUUUCAUUAUCAACUUAUGUAGAAACUGAUUUACCCAUUGUGGCACUUAGAACUAUAUCUCUUUUAUUUUAUGAAACUUGAGAGUUCUCUACACAUGCAUUCAUUUUUAUUAAUUUCUUUAACGUGUGUUGCAGAUAUCAUCACCACAUGAAGGUCAUCAAUGGACAGUCUCUCAGCAAACGCCCGGUCUUGGACGGAGUCAGCAUUCCCACCUACAGCCAAAAGAGAUAUGAUUACAUAUUAGCACCAGCCAUAACAUGUAUAUGUCAUUAACUGUCUCACAAUUAUAAUUGGCUAUUUCAGGGGACCUCUGAUUAACGUCUACCUUUGGAACCAGGCUGCUCAUGAGUUGUACAACAAGUUCAACGAAUGUCUCGCCAGUCCUACUGUUCUAAUAGUAACAGCAUUUAACACUAAACGUACAGGAGGCGAACCGGAGGUGCUAAGCAAAGGAGAGCAAGUGUCAGCUGAAGGAACGCUGUUGGUUGCCCACUUCCCUUAAAAACUAAUCAAAAAGAAGUCUCUUGGUUUUCCUAGAAAAAAAAAGAAGUCUCUUGGUUUUGCUCAAGUGCUUUAUUUCUAAAUGUUUCCCCAAUCUUCUGGAAAUGCUUCUAUAUUUUGUUCGCUUAGAAUCAAAUGUAGACGAAGGUAACAAACCAAAGUGGAGAUCCUUACUAUUGGAGUGAUCUUUUCCUCCUUCUUCAGCAAUAGAUGACGUCGACCAAGACAAGGGGUGAUUUACAUCCCCUGCACCGACUGCCAUGCUAAUGCUAUCAUAGGGACAACUUCAUUGAUGUGUCCAAAAUGCAGAGAUGUCAACGUGACUGGAGUUGAAAUGUACCGUGGUGAAAUAUCUGUCAACGACAAUGGCGGGAAGGAAAAUUUUGUGCUCCUUGGUGAUACUGGUCCUGAGCUAACAGGGAGGCAGACAACAGAGCUUAUUGACAACUACUUGGAGGCUAAUGGAGACAUGUGUGCCAACCAUGAGAUGCCAACUCCACAAUGUCUGGUGGAAGUCUCCAGCUACAACUUUACAGUUAAGAGACGGACCAUAGCUGUGACAAGGGUUGUUUUUUCUGCAGUUCUGCCACCAUUUGUAGCAGCAGAAAACUAACCUGAUGCAAUCGAUGAAACAGCACAUGCUCCUCAACUAAUUCCAUUCUGCCAUAGAUGGAACCUGCAGCUCAGGGUCUUCAGCUGAGCCAAGUGCAUCUAUCUAGGAGACUGGCAUGCAGGAGAAAUCUAAGCGCACGAGUCAUAACUAAACCAGCCACAAUCACACCAAUCCAAUCCUUGGAUACUUGAUAGGACCAUUUUCUAUCUCUGUCUAAGAUUUCUCUUUGUUUUUUUUUACCUUAAAAACAUAUGUAGUUAUUCGACGUAUUCUUUCUCUUUCCACGCCACCAACACUAGCCCGGAUUUGAUUGACUACUUUUGAAGUGACCUUAAAGUGUUGUUAUUGUACUGAAUAUAUAUAUAUGCCUCUUUGUUACAAAAUAUAUAUAUAUAUAUA